GUAUUUAUAGUUUAACUAAAACAUUAGAUUGUGGUUCUAAAGACAAAAGUUAAAAUCUUUUUAUUUACCGAGAGAGGUCCGGGACACGA
This 89-nucleotide transfer RNA is filed under the name Carcharhinus tilstoni (Australian blacktip shark). RNAcentral's name for it is "tRNA-His". The stretch from base 1 to 69 matches the Rfam family "tRNA". From Rfam's summary of the family: Transfer RNA (tRNA) molecules are approximately 80 nucleotides in length. Their secondary structure includes four short double-helical elements and three loops (D, anti-codon, and T loops). Further hydrogen bonds mediate the characteristic L-shaped molecular structure. tRNAs have two regions of fundamental functional importance: the anti-codon, which is responsible for specific mRNA codon recognition, and the 3' end, to which the tRNAs corresponding amino acid is attached (by aminoacyl-tRNA synthetases). tRNAs cope with the degeneracy of the genetic code in two manners: having more than one tRNA (with a specific anti-codon) for a particular amino acid; and 'wobble' base-pairing, i.e. permitting non-standard base-pairing at the 3rd anti-codon position. The record is from RNAcentral. Lineage: Eukaryota; Metazoa; Chordata; Chondrichthyes; Carcharhiniformes; Carcharhinidae.